AACACGGAGCUUGCUCUGUGGGAUCAGUGGCGAACGGGUGAGUAACACGUGAGCAACCUGCCCCUGACUCUGGGAUAAGCGCUGGAAACGGCGUCUAAUACUGGAUAUGUGACGUGACCGCAUGGUCUGCGUCUGGAAAGAAUUUCGGUUGGGGAUGGGCUCGCGGCCUAUCAGCUUGUUGGUGAGGUAAUGGCUCACCAAGGCGUCGACGGGUAGCCGGCCUGAGAGGGUGACCGGCCACACUGGGACUGAGACACGGCCCAGACUCCUACGGGAGGCAGCAGUGGGGAAUAUUGCACAAUGGGCGCAAGCCUGAUGCAGCAACGCCGCGUGAGGGACGACGGCCUUCGGGUUGUAAACCUCUUUUAGCAGGGAAGAAGCGAAAGUGACGGUACCUGCAGAAAAAGCGCCGGCUAACUACGUGCCAGCAGCCGCGGUAAUACGUAGGGCGCAAGCGUUAUCCGGAAUUAUUGGGCGUAAAGAGCUCGUAGGCGGUUUGUCGCGUCUGCUGUGAAAUCCGGAGGCUCAACCUCCGGCCUGCAGUGGGUACGGGCAGACUAGAGUGCGGUAGGGGAGAUUGGAAUUCCUGGUGUAGCGGUGGAAUGCGCAGAUAUCAGGAGGAACACCGAUGGCGAAGGCAGAUCUCUGGGCCGUAACUGACGCUGAGGAGCGAAAGGGUGGGGAGCAAACAGGCUUAGAUACCCUGGUAGUCCACCCCGUAAACGUUGGGAACUAGUUGUGGGGUCCAUUCCACGGAUUCCGUGACGCAGCUAACGCAUUAAGUUCCCCGCCUGGGG
Molecule: ribosomal RNA, 797 nt
Filed under: Microbacterium sp. KP-216O.1
Lineage: Bacteria; Bacillati; Actinomycetota; Actinomycetes; Micrococcales; Microbacteriaceae
Description: bacterial SSU rRNA
Rfam family: Bacterial small subunit ribosomal RNA
Source: RNAcentral